GUCGCCGUCGCCGAUGCCUCGAAGCUUGGUGAAUUGCGCGAAGCUCUGGCCGGAACCAACAUUGCGUUUGGUGCAGGGGAGAGCGCCAUCAUCGAAGCGGCGGACCGUCCUGCCAAUUGGGUGAUGGCUGCGGUCAGCGGGGCGGCGGGAUUGAAGCCUGCGCUUGCGGCUGCCGAUCGCGGCGCCACGAUUGCGCUCGCCAACAAGGAGUGCCUUGUUUGCGCCGGCGAUUUCUUCAUGGAUCGCGCCGCCAAGGCGGGCGCAUGCAUCCUACCGGCGGAUUCCGAACACAACGCACUGUUUCAGGCGCUGGCAUCUGGCAACCGCGAAGAACUGGUCCG
RNAcentral lists this unclassified non-coding RNA (341 nucleotides) under Hevea brasiliensis (rubber tree). The record is from RNAcentral. Lineage: Eukaryota; Viridiplantae; Streptophyta; Magnoliopsida; Malpighiales; Euphorbiaceae.